This 440-nucleotide ribosomal RNA is filed under the name uncultured bacterium. Its description in RNAcentral is "partial 16S ribosomal RNA". It matches the Rfam family "Bacterial small subunit ribosomal RNA", at positions 338 to 795 of the family's 1533-position model. The record is from RNAcentral.
CCUACGGGUGGCAGCAGUGGGGGAUAUUGCACAAUGGGGGGAACCCUGAUGCAGCGACGCCGCGUGGGUGAAGAAGCGCCUCGGCGCGUAAAGCCCUGUCAGCAGGGAAGCAAAUGACGGUAACAGAAGAAGAAGCCCCGGCUAACUACGGGCCAGCAGCCGCGGUAAUACGUAGGGGGCAAGCGUUAUCCGGAUUUACUGGGAGUAAAGGGGGCGCAGACGGCGAUGCAAGCCGUGAGUGAAAGCCCGGGGCCCAACCCCGGGCCUGCUCUUGAUACUGCGUGACUGGAGUGCAGGAGGGGCAGGCGGAAUUCCUGGUGUAGCAGUGAAAUGCGUAGAUAUCGGGAGGAACACCGGUGGCGAAGGCGGCCUGCUGGACUGCAACUGACGUUGAGGCACGAAGGCGAGGGGAGCAAACGGGAUUAGAUACCCCUGUAGUC